RNAcentral lists this long non-coding RNA (342 nucleotides) under Cyanistes caeruleus (blue tit). Its description in RNAcentral is "lncRNA (ENSCCEG00000005499.1)". The record is from RNAcentral. Lineage: Eukaryota; Metazoa; Chordata; Aves; Passeriformes; Paridae.
CAUUUUCAGAAAGUGACAACAUGGUUUAGAAGCUGUCAGUACCUAAUGAAGCAUUUCAGCUCUAUUUUAUAAGCUGUGAUUAUCAUGAUCAUUUUUACUGAUACAUAUAUGGAUUUGACAUCUGCAGCCUUUUAGCCUUUUAAAUAAUCUGGUCAGCAAAAUUUCUAGAAACAGGGCAGAGAAGACUUGGAAGACAUUCAGAAAACCUAGUUAUAAACUCAGGAACAUCUUAUUACUUACUAUAUUUCCUCAAGGCAAUGCAUCAUGUAAGUAACACUGACAGAAAGGCUCUGACCCAAGAAUUAAAGCAGAGACCAGAAGUAUUGCUCAUACCGCUUUCAG